AGGUCCAGGUUCUGGUGUAAAGCAUGUUGAGUGGAGACCGCAGAAGCAGAUCUGAUCUGUGAGAGCAAGAUUUAAUGCAGGAGGCUGUGGGAAAUCUGCUGACCUGAGAAGACCGGCUCAGAAAUGAUCUCUCAAGCUAUGACUUUCAUCAGCUGAUACUAAUGAAAGCACUUCAUUACAGGACAUUGUUUUAAAAGGAUGUUUUCUUGAAUCUGGCUCUGUGGUGGUUUCGUUUUUCAUCACUUGUCACUUGUUUAAUGUGUUUUCUUUAUUGCAUUUACUUGAUGCUUUUCUCUAAAGUGACUUAUUGAUCCAUAUGACGGGAUUCGGCUGUAAUGUUCUUUAUUCUCUUGCCUGAACAAAAAAAUAAAUAAACUGUUUUCCUCACUGAAUCAUACCUGGAAUUUUCUGAAUUUCACUAUGACAGAAAUGCAGCGAUUAACUUUCUGAAUGUUUUUCAUGUUUUGCUGCUCCACAUCGGGUUGAAAUGAAUGAAGCAGAAUCUGGGUAUCAGUUCCAAACUCGUACGAUUGUCUUUCUUCUGUGGAACAAGGAAGAUUUGUUAGAGAAUCAAUGCAAUAAUAGUCAGUGGGGUCUAAAGUUUCAAGCACCAAAAAAACAUAAAUGUGGUGUAAAAGUCAUCAUACAACUCCAGCAGACUCUUCUGAAGCCAUACGAUCACUUUACACAACUAUCGGAGGGACCUCAAAUCAGCUCAUGUUUACAGACCUUUCUGAAAAUCAAGUAUGCUUUAAAAAGAGCACUUAAGUAAU
Cyprinus carpio carpio is the source of this 773-nucleotide long non-coding RNA. The record is from Ensembl. Lineage: Eukaryota; Metazoa; Chordata; Actinopteri; Cypriniformes; Cyprinidae.